CCUACGGGAGGCAGCAGUGGGGAAUUUUCCGCAAUGGGCGAAAGCCUGACGGAGCAACGCCGCGUGAGGGAUGAAGGCCUCUGGGCUGUAAACCUCUUUUAUCAAGGAAGAAGAUCUGACGGUACUUGAUGAAUAAGCCACGGCUAAUUCCGUGCCAGCAGCCGCGGUAAUACGGGAGUGGCAAGCGUUAUCCGGAAUUAUUGGGCGUAAAGCGUCCGCAGGCGGUCUUGUAAGUCUGUCGUUAAAGCGUGGAGCUCAACUCCAUUUCGGCGGUGGAAACUACAAGACUAGAGUGUGGUAGGGGCAGAGGGAAUUCCCGGUGUAGCGGUGAAAUGCGUAGAUAUCGGGAAGAACACCAGUGGCGAAGGCGCUCUGCUGGGCCAUAACUGACGCUCAUGGACGAAAGCUAGGGGAGCGAAAGGGAUUAGAUACCCCUGUAGUCCUAGCCGUAAACGAUGAACACUAGGUGUCGGGGGAAUCGACCCCUCGGUGUCGUAGCUAACGCGUUAAGUGUUCCGCCUGGGGAGUACGCACGCAAGUGUGAACUUAAUGAAUUGACCGGNNGNGAGNGCGAGCGACACGAGGAGAG
This 589-nucleotide ribosomal RNA is filed under the name uncultured bacterium. Its description in RNAcentral is "bacterial SSU rRNA". It matches the Rfam family "Bacterial small subunit ribosomal RNA", at positions 338 to 943 of the family's 1533-position model. The record is from RNAcentral.